Molecule: long non-coding RNA, 416 nt
Organism: Harmonia axyridis
Lineage: Eukaryota; Metazoa; Arthropoda; Insecta; Coleoptera; Coccinellidae
Exons: 2
Source: RefSeq, a predicted model, not a curated record
UGUCUGAAUAAAACUUGAAAGUAAAUGAAUAAAAUAAAAAUAAUAAAUAAAAAAUCACACACGACUUUAUGGUUAGAAUGUGGUGUGCCUGAAUAAAAUUUGAAAGUUUCAAUUCAUUCAACGCAAAACUUGACAGUUGCUGAAUCAUGAAAUUUUUAAUAAAGUAAAUUUUAUUGAUAUGAGUAACUAUGAAGAAUAUACAUACCUGGAAUCGUUUAAGAUGUAAUAUCAGAACAGCUGGUGGAUUGUAGAUGAGCAAUUGCUUGGUAGCGUUAUUAUAUUGGACUUUCUUUUCUGGGCCACCCAAUCUUUCAGUACAUGCAUCACAAGUUACUUUAUUGCACCCAUUGAGAAAUUCCCAGGUGGUGAAUUGGUUCAUGCAGGAUUGAAUGGAACAUUCUCCUUCGGUGCAUUGA